Molecule: ribosomal RNA, 460 nt
Filed under: uncultured bacterium
Lineage: Bacteria
Description: partial 16S ribosomal RNA
Rfam family: Bacterial small subunit ribosomal RNA
Source: RNAcentral
CCUACGGGUGGCAGCAGUGAGGAAUAUUGGUCAAUGGGCGCAAGCCUGAACCAGCCAAGUCGCGUGAGGGAUGACGGUCCUAUGGAUUGUAAACCUCUUUUGUCGGGGAGCAAGGCCCGCCACGUGUGGCAGGAAGGAGAGUACCCGAAGAAAAAGCAUCGGCUAACUCCGUGCCAGCAGCCGCGGUAAUACGGAGGAUGCGAGCGUUAUCCGGAUUUAUUGGGUUAAAAGGGUGCGCAGGCGGAAUGUCAAGUCAGCGGUAAAAUUUCGGGGCUCAACCCCGUCGUGCCGUUGAAACUGGCGUUCUUGAGUGAGCGAGAAGUAUGCGGAAUGCGUGGUGUAGCGGUGAAAUGCAUAGAUAUCACGCAGAACUCCGAUUGCGAAGGCAGCAUACCGGCGCUCAACUGACGCUCAUGCACGAAAGCGUGGGUAUCGAACAGGAUUAGAUACCCCUGUAGUC